AAGGACAAUAAAAAUUUCAUGCAAAAUGUCUACUUUUACAUCAGCAAAUUAGACGGCCGGAUGAAAGCAAAGGAGUUGCUAGUAGAGUUGGAUCCCUCAAACUACACAUAGAGCAACCAGC
This is a long non-coding RNA of Myotis lucifugus (little brown bat), 121 nucleotides long. RefSeq lists it as uncharacterized. The record is from RefSeq and is a predicted model, not a curated record. The transcript has 3 exons. NCBI's taxonomy places the organism in Eukaryota, Metazoa, Chordata, Mammalia, Chiroptera, Vespertilionidae.